CCUACGGGAGGCAGCAGUGGGGAAUAUUGGGCAAUGGAGGAAACUCUGACCCAGCGACGCCGCGUGCGGGAUGAAGGCCUUCGGGUUGUAAACCGCUUUCAGUAGGGAAGAAGCGAAAGUGACGGUACCUACAAAAGAAGCACCGGCUAACUAUGUGCCAGCAGCCGCGGUAAUACAUAGGGUGCAAGCGUUGUCCGGAAUUAUUGGGCGUAAAGAGCUCGUAGGUCGUUUGUUACGUCGGAUGUGAAAACCUGAGGCUCAACCUCAGGCCUGCAUUCGAUACGGGCAAACUAGAGUUUGGUAGGGGAGACUGGAAUUCCUGGUGUAGCGGUGGAAUGCGCAGAUAUCAGGAGGAACACCAAUGGCGAAGGCAGGUCUCUGGGCCAAUACUGACACUGAGGAGCGAAAGUCUGGGGAGCGAACAGGAUUAGAUACCCUGGUAGUCCAGACCGUAAACGGUGGGCACUAGUUGUGGGAACCUUCCACGGUUUCUGCGACGCAGCUAACGCAUUAAGUGCCCCGCCUGGGGAGUACGAUCGCAAGAUUAAAACUUAAAGAUAGUAGCGNGNGAGNGCGACGACGACGACGAGGAGGAG
Molecule: ribosomal RNA, 596 nt
Filed under: uncultured bacterium
Lineage: Bacteria
Description: bacterial SSU rRNA
Rfam family: Bacterial small subunit ribosomal RNA
Source: RNAcentral